Molecule: long non-coding RNA, 1045 nt
Organism: Wyeomyia smithii (pitcher-plant mosquito)
Lineage: Eukaryota; Metazoa; Arthropoda; Insecta; Diptera; Culicidae
Exons: 2
Source: RefSeq, a predicted model, not a curated record
CCGAACAACUCUACCUGCAAUUUUCAACUUACACCCUUUUGUUAGCAUAUCGACGAAUAUGUGAAAUGAGCUGUCAUGUCAGAUAGGCUCUCAUAAUUUCGGCGAAAGUGAGGCGAUCAUAAAAAUAAAAACAUCAUUCACUUACACCAUUUUGAUUUCACUCAUGAUCUGUUUCGUGUGCUGCUGAAAAAUUUUAAUACUUUCUAUCGGAUUUUGUUGUUAGAAUAGGAAAUGUUUUCCGGGUUGGAGAUGCUUCAAAAUGCAGCCACCCAAAUGGAAAAGAGAUGUCUGCCGGGUAGUGAUCCGACAAGUGAACGGAGUUCCAAUUGGAUGUAAGAAAGUCGAGAAAUCAAAAAAGGUGCAAUGAUCACCAGUAUGCUAAGCAACCGGAAUCGUCAUUUGUGCACACCGGAGCCAAUGUGAUGUACACAACCUUCCCCUUUGGAUCAACAUCAAAUUCGGGCGCUGUAAAACGUUUUCCGUUUUCCGACAUUUUCAGUGAGUAUUUCCUUGCUGCACACUUCGAUAAGCUUGGUAGUAACUCACCGAUAUUUAAACAGAAAAACUUUCCGGUACUUUGUGAUCUUAUAAUAUUUUCUAGAAGAUCGUAGCAACCUGUGGAGGAGGUGAAUGCAAAUAUUUUUGAGUUCAUGGUGCUAAAGUGCUUCAAAAGCUAAAUAAUUUUUCUGUUUUGAGGCGCCGUCUUUAAUGUUUUCUGUCUUUCCGGUUUUUCGUAGAUGUCUAGUGAUAAGGCCUGCAUCUAGAGAAUAGCUAGUUUAUUAUAAUCCCAAAAAUCGCGGGCUGCUGCUGCUAUAUUUAUAGCUCUCCUGUUUUGUGUGGAUGGAAACCGCUGGAAAUUUGACUGCAUUGAUUGUGUAUGUUCGGAAAGACCAAGAAGAAGGCCGGAAAAAUAGCACGUGAGCACAGAAGGAAAGUGCAGUACAUCAUUCUGGAUUUGCAGUCCCAUGAUCUAUUCAUCUAUUUCUAUUUAAGAUUAGGUAUAAAUAUAAUUGUAUUCACACAAUACAGCAGUUCUAUCUUUAAA